CAAUCAUCUUCUUCCACACCACAAGAUCAAAGCUCAAUCACGAACUUCAAAUCACAACCGGUCAUUCGAAUUGCGUACCGUACAGAUCGAACCACCAGAUGAAAACCCAUUCCUAGCGCCAUCGGAACAUUGCACCAACCGUUAACAGCCGUCAGAAGGAAGCUGCGUUUCCCUUUAUCGAACAACCUGAGAGAGAAGGAGAGACCAUUCUCUGUGAGAGUAAAAUAUUUGGUUCGAGAGACGAAAAGGGUCGAAGAGUGGGAAUGGAGUUUCGUCCUUGAUGGGUUGUUUUUGGUAAAAUAAAGGAACCCUUUUGAGUUUGUGGGUUCAAAGAGUGAGAAUCAUGGGUAGCGAAGUGAAUGAAAGCGAGGAAUACUCGCUGCUCAAGAAUCUGAGGCUGGAAAUUGAUGUAGAUGAUGGCUGUUUUACUGUUUGCUUUUGGGUUUAUCUCAUGAAUUCUACCACAUUCCCUAUUUCAAUCCUUCAGCAGGAGCAAUUAGAUUCCUCAGGCAUGACUCCUUUUCUCAUUUUAAGUGAAAGGAAUAGACUGAAGAUUAUGCCUUUGAACACCUUACACAAAGCUGAUGAAGAUUCCAGCCCUGGUAGUUCUUCUUCCGGGGAUGUAGUUCCACAUGAAUAUCUAGACAUCGAUUUUCCCAUGGAAAAAUGGGUUCACAUUGGAUGUGAGGUAUCCACCGAUUUUGUCAGGCUGCAUAUUGAUGGGAAAAUGGUUGGAGAAAAGGCUAUAUCGUCUUCACUCAGUGAAGACACCCUUCCAAGGGGUUUGCGGAGGAUUAUUUUAGGCAAUAAUGGUGAAGACAACAGCAUGCAGGGCUAUGUUCAUAAUGCAAAAAUCUUGCCUUCAGUUUCGUCGAUCAGGGAUCAUUAUGCUGAGGACCUACCUGUUAAAUUAUUUAUCGACAACUCUUCCACCAUGGAGAUUGAAGAGGGCAGUGAUGGCAUCUGGAAUAUAGUUGGUGGCAAGCCAUCUUGUCGUAGAAAUUUUUCAUUGGAUGUCAUGCUGUUAGAUUCCUCUGGCCAUCCUGUUCUGAAGGAACUCGAGGUUGUUGCCUCCCUCAUCUAUGCUGAAAGUGGGGAAGCUGUGGAGAAGUCGUGUGAUGAAGAAGCUCCCCUUUUGGCAAGCUAUGAUGGUGUUGAAUUUGCUUCUAGUGAUAGACCAAGCAAACUGUUGCACGGGCGUGCCUCCUUUAAGUUAAAAAUAUCUCAGCUAUCUUCUAAAUGUGAUAACAAGCUCUUCCGCAUCAGAUUUUGUAUACCUAGAGUUGAGGGGUAUCCCUUCUUCGAGGCUCUCUCUUCUCCAAUUCGGUGUAUCUCAAGGAGUCGAAAUACUCGUAUGUCAACUUUGAUGUUGAAAAGAUCUACCUUCCAUCCACUCGAUGGAUCUAGGUCAUCUGGUUUGGACAAUGGAACCUCAGAACAUGAGUAUGUUUCAGUAGAUGAAGAAAAACCAAGUCCACUAUUGAAGAGGAUUAAGUUGGGACAAGAUAAACCAACCCCUAAUGAUGAUCCUUCAUCAGGGCAAGCAGAUGAGGAAUGCAAUUCUCAUUCUUUUACUGCUAAUGGGGCUGAAAAUGGAUUUGGCACAAGUUUAACUGGAAGACCAAAAAAUAAUGGAUCAACAGGAGCCUCCCCAUCAGACUCCGGGAGCACUGAAGCCAGGCAUUCAGCUCUAAAUAGAACUACAACCAAUGAAAAUCCAAUAUCAGAUGUGAACAUUUUCAAAUAUUGCCUAGCAGGUUUAUCUGAGAGGUCACUUCUGCUCAAGGAGAUUGCAACCUCUGUGUCACAGGAAGAAAUUUUGGAAUUUGCCGAGCAUGUUUCCCUAUAUUCUGGAUGCGUGCACCACAGGCAUCAAAUAUUAAUGUCGAAAAAAUUAAUAGAGGAGGGAACACAAGCUUGGAGCUCAAUCUCACAAAACAAGCAUCAUGUUCAUUGGGAGAAUGUUGGUUUUGAAAUUGAAGAGCAAUUCAUGAGAAUUGCUGGCUGCAGCUCUAGAUCUCUCACUCAGCAGGAUUUUGAGUUGCUGAGAAGAAUUUCUGGUUGUCAAGAGUAUCUGGCCCAAGAGAACUUCGAAAGAAUGUGGUGUUGGUUAUAUCCUGUAGCUUUUACUCUAUCCAGACAGUGGAUAAAUGCAAUGUGGAGUUCUUUAUCACCUAAGUGGAUUGAAGGAUUCAUUACCAAAGAAGAAGCUGAAUUAUCACUUCAAAGUCCGACAGGUCUUCAAGAUCCUGGGACGUUUAUUCUUCGAUUUCCCACCUCAAGAAGCUGGCCUCAUCCUGAUGCUGGUAGCUUGGUAGUUACCUAUGUCGGCAAUGAUUAUGCUCUUCAUCACAGACUUCUUACCCUUGAUCGCAUUUUCAGUUCUGCUGAAGGGGAGAAGAGUAUGAGAAGUCUUCAGGACAUGCUUCUAGCAGAACCCGAGCUAUCUCGUUUGGGAAGGAGUUGUUUGGGAAAGAAUAUUUAUAGGCAUGUUGGAGCCAUUCCAGAACCAAGAUUUGAAAGGUGAACCAUUCAGUCAUCAUCUUCAUAUACUCUUCCUCUCUUCAGAACAUUACUCACAAAAAACUACAAGUUGUAGAUGAAACUUCGUCUCAGUUGCACUUGUAUGAGAACGUGCACGUCAGAUACGAUUAUAUCAUAUUACCAUCUCCAGUCAGGAUAUCUCAUCCGUCAGCAGUUUUAAAACCUUGAAUUAGCAGGCAAUCCUUGUUACAGAAAGCCAAAACAUGUGAUGUGAAUAAAUAUUGAAGUAGAGUCCAGAAAAGAUGGGGUUUUCUCAGCUGUAUUACUUCCUAAUUUUUCCAUUAAUAUGUUUGGUUUGUGAGUUUUUCAACUCCUUGAGGGAAAGACGAAAGGACAGAUGGUACAGAAUCCAUGGAUGACAGCACAACCUUUCACAUGAUGCUUGUUUUGACAAUUCCUUUUUCAUCCUUUUAUUUUGAGUCUCCACUUUUUCUACCAACUCAUCAAUGGUUGGUUUCUCCAACUUUCCUGGAUAUAUUUUAAUUUAUUCAUCUCAAUGAUCUCUACUGUUUAUGUCU
Non-coding RNA from Benincasa hispida (wax gourd), 3062 nucleotides. Lineage: Eukaryota; Viridiplantae; Streptophyta; Magnoliopsida; Cucurbitales; Cucurbitaceae. The record is from RefSeq and is a predicted model, not a curated record.